GGAGGCGCCCGGCUGCUCCCUUUUCCUCAGAGAAAGGGAGGGAAAGGAGGAAGGGGGGCGGGGGAGGGGAGGGAGAGAACUGAGAGGCUGGGCCGUGCGGUUCGCGGGCAAGGAGAGACGUUGAUGCCGAGGGGGUGUCCACCGCGGCUCUCAACUGACCACGGGGUGCCGUGCUGGUGACGGGCCCCCCGGCUGCAGGUGUGAGGAGGUGUGAUUAGCCGGCUUGAUUUACAGGGAGAGCGGGCACGGGAGGUGGGCUGACCUGGCCUCUGACAAGGCAUCUCAUUGACCAGGUAGCGGGGCCUCCAACUGCCAGACAGUGGGCGACCCGACAGGUUGAGGAGGCCGCGAGGGGCUCGGAAGGGUUACCUGAACUUGGUGUCUUACUGACUGGGGCAGAGCCAGUGGAUUAGAAGGUGACCUGACUUCUGGCUGAGGCAGGGGAGAAACCCCACGUCUUCGUAGGUGCAGGUAGAUGCGUAGGAUAAAUUCCAGAAGUGGAAUUAUUGGAUCAAAUCUAUGUGCGGUUUUUUGUUGUUGUUCUUUGGCAAAUGCUGCCAAAUUACCCUAAGUUGUACCAAUUUGCAGUUUCGCCAACAACAUGCGUCUCAGGAAUUUAAACUGUCAUAUGUAAGAUUCAUUGAGUUGCUAGUUGACUGAAACGCCGAAAAGGCACACACAAGUAGAGCUGUGAGGUCCCAGAGUACAUGUAUACUCCGAUGCUGUGACCAAGCAGAAGCUAUAAGGAUAAAACUGUAUCCCCAACAGAGGGAAAUGUUGGGAAUGGAUUGAAGGAUGCCCUGAUGGACGCUAUCCAUGUUUGGGUGACUUUGGAAGAAUGUUCUUUGCAAGACUGUCCUUGAAGAAGUGGCAGUUGUCACUCUGCUUUCUUGAGUAACAGCUCUCCCAUUGUCGAUCCUACCUAAAACUUGGUAAACACAGAGUCCCUGACUGCAUCAUCUGAGAAUUUCUGAAGAAUACCUUGCCAACCAGAUGGGAUGAAUAUCGGCCCUGGAGUUACUUUCCUUAACUGGAGAGUCCAUCAUGGCAGGAGGGAUGGCGGCAGGCAGCCAGAGGGGGCAACUGAGCCAUCUCAUCUUCAAUGACUCACACACAGCAGAGAGUGGGCUGAAUACCGGGCAAGUCUAUAACCUCAAAGACCAUCCCUAGUAAUGUACUUCCUCCAGCAAGGCUGAAUCUUCUAAAGGUUCCGUAACCUCCCCAAACAGCACCACCAACUGGGGACCAAGGCUAUGGGGGACAUUUCCAUUGAACUCGCCACAGACUUUUUAAAAGGAUAAUAUGUUGAAAAUUGUUUAGUUAGUAAUUAAGACUUACUUUUGGUUUUUAUGUUUGAAAUUAUUGCCAAAUGGACCCAUAGUGCUCAAUUUUUGUAUUUUUGGUGACAUCGUGUCUUCAAUCCAGAACCUCACACAUGCUAGGGAAAUGCUCUACAAUUGAACUACACUCCCAACCUCAAGUUGUGAUUUAAAGGCAUCUAACAUCUUCAUCUUUUGUAAGUUAGGAAAAGAGAACUGAGUGUGAAAAAGUCACCCAAAUAACAAUGUCAUAGUAACACAGUCACUUGUGUAUGCUUGGUCACCCCUCCAUCAGCAGCUGCCAUGGCGCCUCUGAGAACAAACGGUGAAUGCAGGCUCCUCUUACUCUGCUGUUAAUGUCACUGGAGGGAUAGUGGGCAGGGAGCGGGGCAGAUGGAGCAAAGAGUCUGAACACCAGAGGAUGCCCUGGGCACAGCAACUAGAACAUGGCCUCAACUUCACACAGAAUGCGGAUUAAAACCAACUUGAAAGUUUUUCUCCUGGAAUGAGCUGUCACUGUGAAGUUCAUGUUGGAGGUGAUGCGACCUGGGAUUCUGUUUGGAACAGUUCUUUCUUGAGUGUUUAUGAUGUACUGCAUCUCCAGCCUGGCAGCUGCAGGGCUUUUGCUCAGCACUUAAACAUUCUCACUGUCUUUGGGUAGCUAGAAAGUGUCUGAGGUCUCCCUGCUGGGCUAGUAUAGAGAAAGCAUGAUGAAGCAGUCUGUGGUAUCCAUUCUGCAGGAAGGUUAGGAUUGUGUCCAGGAUCCAGGAUCAGUUCAUUGCUUUGAAGUCCAUGUUCCUUCCACUGUGUUAUGACCCUGCCUUGGACCACAAAUCCAGUUUCAAGUAGACGAGACCUAACAGUUGCAUAGACUUAAAAGCUCAGGAAGUGUGUGGGUUUUACUGUUGACUUUGGGAUUUAUGUGGUUCUCUGUGGGGAAGGUACCAUUGUGCUCACUGUAUCCAGAGAAAAGUGAAGUUUGGCUUGGUGAGCUGGAGGCAAAGGAUAGGUGGAGGCAGGAGAGUGCAUUCAGCCUCCAUACCUAUCCUGUGCCAGCCUGAGCAUGGCACUAAGGAUUUAGAUGUGGAGAUCAACUGUCUCUAUCCCAGGAGCAUCUGGUUUGGUGCAGAGAUGGUUACAAUCCAGUGUGGUAGUGGUUGUGAUGGCUAGUCUUGGUUGUCAAUUUGACCACAUCUGGUAUCCACUAAAACCCGAGCAGCUGGGCACACCUGUUAGGGGUUUUCUUGAUUGAAUUAUUUGAGCUGGGAAGACCCACACUAGGAAGGGCCACACAUUCUGGUUGCAGCCACACAGAAAGGACAUGGAGGAUGGAAGCUUUCGCUUUUGCUGCUUGUUCUUAAUCUCAAUGUCAAGUUCAUCUGCCCUGUUGCUGAAGCAUCCCUUCAUUGGUAUCAGAACAGACCGAAGACAGCAGUUCUUUAGGAAUGCCUCAUGACUCCAGCACCAGAUUGGGACUGCAGAAACACCCAGGUCUCGUGGACUGAACAACUCUCAGAUUCUUGGUCUUUGCAUCAGGAGACAGUCAUUGUUGGACAAGUUGGACCACAGCCUGUUAACCAGUUCAAUAAAUCUCCUUUUAAUAUAGAGAUAUUCAUUCUAUCAGUUCUGUUCUUUUAGAGAACUUUGACUAAUACAGUGGAUUCAUAAAAGAACACAUCAGGAACUGGGGUGAUAUUUCAUUGUUGGGCAAGCCUGAUGAUCUUCAAUCCCAGAACCUGUGAAAAAGCAAGAUGGGGUGGUAAAGUAUCUGCGGCAAGAGAGGAGGCAGAGGCAGGAGAAUUGGCCAGAAGCUCCCUGACCAGUGUACAGAACAGCAGUAAAACCGACAGGAGAGACUGUGCCUCAAAACAAGGUGGAAGAUAGUUGGGCAUAGUGGCUCAUGCUCUUAAUCCCAGCACUCGGGAGGCAGAGGCAGGUGGAUCUCUGUGAGUUCUAGGACAGCCAGAGCUACAUAGUGAGACCCUGUCUCAGGAAACCAAAACCAAACCAAAACAAAAACAGCAAACAAAAAACAAGGUAGAAGGAGAUAACAAAUUCUGGAAACCCCCUUGACCUUCAUAUGUGUGUUAUGGUAUAUGGAUGCCCUUUAGUACAUAAACACACAUAGAAGCAAAUCUUUAAAAGAUGAACCCAGGUUAGAUUUCUUGUGCACAGGACACUGAACUGGCCUCUCAGUGCACUGCCCUCAGAUCUUCUCAGGCUGUGCUCUUUGGCAGUUAGAUUCUCAUUCAGCAACUUGGCCUUUGGGCUUCUCAAGUCUCAGCUUUCUGUCACCCAGUGCUCCAGAGUGAGCUCUAAGAGCGAGCCAUCUGAAUGAGGGGUUUUACUCACUGUCAACAUUGGGAUUCAUACGGUUCUAUGUGGGGAAGGUGUCACGGUGUAACCAGACCACAGUACUCGUCACCAUCUGGAGCUGCUCGUCUGUGGGCUUGUUUUGUGAUUGUCUCUCCAACUAACCUGCCACAUGUCCUGGGACCUUGUCUAACACAAUCAUUGCUCUACCUCCAUGUCUAUCAUGGAUCCAGUACUACCAGGCUACCUUGGUGCCCAAACAUCAUGGAAACUCAUGGAAAGAGUUUCCACCUAAAACCUGAGAGAACGUAAAAAUAGAUUCUAAAAUGGAGCUAAGAGCAGCUUCCUAGUUCGUAUGUCUCAUGUAGGCCUUGGUACAGAGACGCCUAGGUACAGAAACACUGUGGCAUUUAAGCUUGAGCACAGCAUGGUGGAUACCUGCCACUGUACACAGAGACGUCUCCAAGCUGCACAGCAUGCUGCAUGGUGGAUUUAGCUUUUGCUAGUACAGAGCAAAAACAAAAAGUUUUCUGGGCUACAUGCUGCUUGAUGGAGGCAUAGAUCCACUGCUUCCCAGAGCUGGCGGUAAGCAUACCUCCACCAUGUUGGGAAACUGAAUGGGGCAGAGUCAACAGCCAAAGCUGCCUCACAGCUUAGCAGUUUAAAAUCUCUCCUGGUCAGAAAAGGAUUACAGAUACACAGUGAGACAGAUUCAGAUGGAAUAAAUCUCUAAACAGUUUACAGUGUGUGUAAAAAUGUACCUAGGCUUGGAAGAGAGAGGAAAACGAGUAUAGUUCUAUAAAGAAAUAGUUUUAAAAAAUAAAGUUUUUAAAGAGACAAUAAAAAUGGUAUAAAAGAAAUAGCCACACAAAGAUGGAAAAUACAUAGCCUGGAUUAUGUAUAUUGUGUUUUAUUUUUGACUGUUAAUGAGCUAAUUGCAGGAAGACAUUUGAUUGUAAAGGCUUCUAAGUUAAAUAUAUAUAUAUAUAUAUAUAUAUAUAUAUAUAUAUAUAUAUAUAUAUAUAUAUAUAAUUUAAAGGUAUCUUGACUUCAAAUUUGGAUAUAAGAAUAUGUUGCUUUGGAAAGGAGGCUCUGCUUUCAUUUCCAAAGGAAGCAAGAGGCUAUAGAUUUGUUCCAGGUUAAGAUAGAUCAGAUUUGAUCAAGUGAGACCUCCUGAACCUUGACAGAUGGAAUCUAUCAACAAGAAGGUUAUAGCCAGUCUUCCUAGGACUUGACUAUUAUCUCGAAUUUUCUCAGUAUCCCCAUAAGAUUGCCAGCACUCCUAAUCAGCAGGAAGUAGUAUGAAAAGCUAAGCUCAAAUUCCCAAAAUAUUGUUUAUAAAUGUUCAUUUUUAUUUAAAGGAGGUUGAUUAUAAAUGCAAUCUCUUUCUAUAUAAUAGGAUAAAAGGGUUGACUAUUGAAUCUACUUUUAAAGAACAAUAACUUGUUUGAAACAUUUUACAUUGCUAUGGAUUUUAGUUUAUUGAUACAAAUUUAAAUUUAAUUUUGUUAUACUGUAUAUAUAUUUCUACUCUUGUUUAAGGUAUUAUGUUUAUGCAACUCAUUUAAGAUUGUAAUGUAUAAUUAAGAAAUAUAGAUUAACAAUUAGUCAUCUUUAUUCUAUGAUAAUCAAACUUUUUUUAGAGAUUUAUUUAUUUAUUAUGUAUACAGUGUUCUGCCUGCAUGUAUACUUGCAGACCAGAAGAGGGCACCAGAUUUCAUUAUAGAUGGUUGUGAGCCACCAUGUGGUUGCUGGGAAUUGAACUCAGGACCUCUGGAAGAAUAGCCAGUGCCCUUAACUGCUGAGCCAUCUCUCCGGUCCCAAUAAUCAAACUUAGAGUCAUGUUAGUUAAGUUUUUUUAGGUAUACAUAGAUAUAUUUCAAUUAGGUAGGUAAUCUUCAAACAUUUCAAAGACCUUCAAAAUAUGGCAUUUAAAAUGUUUUAAAGACUUAGACUUUUCUGGACAGUGAGACAUGUCUGCUCCUGGCAGCACCAACUUACUUCAAAGAGGAAGAUGGCAUCAAAGACACUUCAUGUGGAGUUUGUCUUCUUCUUGGCAAAACUGGCCAUUUGGGCAAGAAACUGCUCGUGCCUGGACUGCUUGACAGUAUGUUGUAUAGACUGGACAUGCAGGACCCAUAGGAAAAUGACCACUGAACUUUGUCUAAACAGGGUGAGAUGGUCCUUCAGUUUCCUGCUUCACAGAAGAUACUGCCAGACAUUCUGCAGGACACAGAGGAAAGUGACUGAUGAACUUUGCCAAUAAGUGAGACAAUCCUUCAAAUUUCCUGCUUCACAAAAAAGUCUGCCAGAGACUCUAGGCCAGUAGGCUGAAGAAGCCAAUGUUGCAGAGGAACUUUGGGUGACUGUCCAGGCUGCCAGAUGUUCCUGUCAUUUCUAGAAUUUUGGAAGAUGCUUGCAAUGUACUUCCUGUUUACUUAGGUAAUAUAUCCUUCUAGGGUCUUUGAUGUAGUUGAAGACUAGAUAGUUAUAAAUUAUUGUUUUCCUUAAUUAUGAUAAAAGAUAAAUUAAAUAUACAACUUUAGACUCACAAAUACAGGAUAGAUGAUAGAAUAUUUUCUUUAAUUUUACCAAAUAAAAAUAGACUAGAUAUUGUAACUGUAA
Long non-coding RNA from Peromyscus californicus insignis, 6257 nucleotides. RefSeq lists it as uncharacterized. The transcript has 4 exons. The record is from RefSeq and is a predicted model, not a curated record. NCBI's taxonomy places the organism in Eukaryota, Metazoa, Chordata, Mammalia, Rodentia, Cricetidae.